This 1083-nucleotide ribosomal RNA is filed under the name Triticum aestivum (bread wheat). RNAcentral describes it as "partial small subunit ribosomal RNA". Lineage: Eukaryota; Viridiplantae; Streptophyta; Magnoliopsida; Poales; Poaceae. The record is from RNAcentral.
AUGGCGCGUGUGGAGGCGCUGAGCAUGAGCGGCCUGUCGGUGAUCCCGGUUGAGUACGUGCGGUCGAUGGAUGAGCGUCAGAGCCUGGGGGACGCCUACGACCAGGCGGCGGCCAGUUGGUCCACGGCGGGCUGCCAGCGUAUCCCCAUCGUCAACGUGGCCCCGUUCGACGGGGCCGACCCGAGCUCUCCGGCGAGCGCCGCUGUCGUCGACGCCGUUCGCGCGGCCGCGGAGGACUGGGGCGUCAUGCACGUGGCCGGCCACGGCAUCCAGGACGAUCUGAUCGACGCGCUGCGCGGCGCUGGGAUGGGGUUCUUCGGCAUGCCGAUCGCCGACAAGGAGGCCUACGCCAACAACCCGGCGGCCGGGAUAUUGGAGGGCUACGGCAGCCGGCUCGCGGGCUCCGCCGGCGAGGACGGGAAGAGGGAGUGGGAGGACUAUUUGUUCCACCAGCUCCACCCCGACGCACGUGCGGACCACGCGCGCUGGCCGGCUCACCCACCAGAGUACGUGCCCGUCACGAAGAGCUUCGGGGAGCGCGUGAGUGAGCUGGCGGCCCGGCUCCUCGCCAUCCUCUCCCUCGGGCUCGGCGUCCCGGCGCCAACGCUAGAGCGCCGCCUCCGCCUCAGCGACGAAGAAGUCGCCGUCGAGGACGAUCUGCUGCUGAAGAUGAAGAUCAACUACUACCCGCCGUGCCCGCAGCCAGAGCUGGCGGUGGGUGUGGAGGCGCACACCGACGUCUCCGCGCUCUCCUUCAUCCUCACCAAUGGUGUACCGGGCCUCCAGGUCCUUAACAGUGCCGGGGCAUGGGUUACCGCGCGCGAUGAGCCCGGAACCCUCGUGGUCCACGUCGGUGACGCGCUCGAAAUCCUCAGCAACGGGCGGUACACAAGCGUGCUCCACCGCGGGCUGGUCAACCGCCGUACCGUGCGCAUCUCAUGGGUGGUCUUCGCCGAGCCGCCACCCGACUCCGUGCGGCUGCGGCCGCUGCCGGAGCUCCUUGUGAACGGCGCCGAGCCACGCUUCGAGCCGCGCACCUUCAGGCAGCACCUGGAAAACAAGGUCCUCAAGAAGAAGGAUUAA